UUGAAACUGGGGAAACUACAUAAAGGAGUAAAGCAGAACAGAUCUAGGCUGGCUUGAACACGGGACUGAUCUGUUGUCUCACUGCGGCUACCUCUGUGACCUGAUAUUAAUGAAGAGGACGAGUCAGGAGCACAGCUUCCAGGGCAGGCACAAACAGAAUGAGGUGUCCUUUGUCUUGAUGCUACACUGAGAUUAGGUAGCGGCUUUCUGAAAAUGAAAGGGCAUGGCUCAAAUUUUCUUGGAAUCACCAUCUUCAGGCUCUCACCCUCUCUCUGCAAGACAUGACCCAAACAUCUCAUCUUCCUCUGCUCUGCCUGUCCAAAGAGAAUCUAUUACAACCCCAGUGAAAAGGAGGCAAUGACUAUCCUCAGCUCCAGAGAUUUUCUGUUUCUGAAAGAUACCAAGAAAUCCACUGAAUGUUACAAAGGAAGGCAACAGGAGCAGACAGCAUAACUAGCAUCUUGGAGAACUCCUCAAAAUCCUUCAGGAUUAAGGAUACAGACACCAUACUGGGGUCUGUGUUUUACUUCUAAAGCAUUUACUUUUAGAAUGGAUCGGAUGUUUCCUCUCCAAUAGCAGGACAUACCAAGCACUUCACAGAUUGUCCAGAAAAUUUAAGAGUUAACCUGACCUUGAUGAAGAAACACUGAUGUGGGAAGAAGAUACCAGACUGGACUUUCAAGACACACUGAGUUGCUACCUGAAUCUAAACAGAAGAGUCAGCUAUUGGGUGGCAACAGGGCAUGUCUCACUGUACCCAGCAGAAACAGGAGGCUACAGCAGAAACUUCAAACCACUUCACACUGUUUCACACCCAAGGUCUAAACCCUUUGUGGCAAGUCGAGCCAGUGGAACCACUAUUGCUGGUUCAACUCUGCAGUAGCCAUGCUAAGGGGUUAGCAUAUAAGUGUCUCUAUACCCUAAUGAAACAUUAAAUCUGAUUUCAAGCUCUGUCCUCAUCGCAGCCUCCUAGGCUUUCAGUUUCAGAAACAAUUGGGUUUUUUGAGUCCACCAUGCCUGCAGGCUCCUUCCUUCUGUACCCCGCCUUUAAGAGCUUCAGCCUGAGAUUUGAGCUGGCUUGUAGCCAUGCCCAAGUGGACGCAAUACCUAAUAGUUUCCACCUGAUGAGCAAGAUGCUUUUCUGUUCUCUGAACAGAGUCAUGAGCCUGGUAGAUACAUCGCAACCUACUGAAUGAACAUGUCUAUGGCCUUCAAAGGAGAUAGCAUGAGACACGAGCUGGGACAGGAGAUAGGAUGAACCCUCACUCUGAAUCUUCUCCCACAGGUUUACCAUGGGUUCCAAGUGGUGGACAAACCUAACGUUCAGAUUUAGUUGCACACUUGACAAAAUUUAAUAUAUAAGUCUGAAUACAGAGUUCUGUCUGAAGAAGUAAUGCUGUGGAUAAAAUUCACUUUACUGAAUUUAGCUUCCCAAAUGAGUUACUGAAUAGUCACUCACAUUUGCCUCGAUGAUAGUUUUAAGGGAAGUUGUUUGUCAUGCUAAUAUAUCUUUCCUUCACACAAAAGCAGAUAUACAUACAGUUUUGUACGGGAUACUAACAAUCUAUAUAUAUAAACUGAUGUUAUUACCAGAGUCACUAUGUAUAUGUUGGCAAUUACAUAUGUUUUUCUUCUUUUGCUAUAUAAAUUUCCUCUCCCUAAUAAAGUGUGGAAGGUUUCCCAAAGAGUUUAAGAACCCAGAAUCACUGAAGUGUAGCUGUUAAAACAAGCUAAACUGGUUUAACUUCUGAGCUGUCAGACUUAAUUUGAAAUGACGAGAUCUGACCACUGUUUUCAUGUGAAUUUCUAAAAUUAGGUCAUUUCCAAAGAUAUGCAAUAAAUACAAGAAAGAAUGUCAAAGUUCAGGGGGGGUUGUCCUGAUUUGCUUUCUUAAAUGAAAUUAAGUGGCAAAACCAUUGACUUAUUAAAAUAAUAUAAAAAAUAGUUAAAACAGUUAAACAUACUAAUAACCCAUGAAGAGUAGUGUUCCUGUAAUUAAAAAAAGAUAAUUUUCAAAAGGUAUUUUAACAUUAAUUUUUUUAAAAAUAUCUAGCUCAAUCUUCUUUUUUUUUUUCUUCAGGCAGUUAAAGCGAAUGCAUAUGGCAUGAAAAUCUGUUAAAACAUAGUACUUUACACCUUUCUUUGUACCUGCUCCAAAUAUAUUUGUCUAUAAAUUAACUGCACAUGGUGGUUUUCACAUUGGCUUAUUUUAUCCCUGUGUGCAAGAAAUUUAAUACAUCAUUUGUGUUCCAUCAAUUACAGUUCUAUUCAGCGGACAAAAAGAGGAGGGGUAUAAACAUACCUACGUAUUUUUGCAUUUUUAUAUGCAAUUUAUGCCCAAGACAUCAACUGUAUAUAAAAAAGGUAAAAAAGUAACCCUGUACUUGUACCACAUCUCUGAAGAGCUGAACUCCCUUAAAAUACCAAUGUAUUAAGCAUCAAGAAGUGAUGUCAUAGUUAUGUACGGUUAGUCUCAUUUUACAGACAGAAGAACCGAGCUAUGGCUUUAGUGGUCUGCAGGGUAGGUAGUCUUCUAGAAAGAUCCACACAAUAAUUUCAUGGUCUUCGUCUCAACAUCAACCAUCAUCUCUUGGCCUGUACAGUAAGGUUGUGUUAUACCCACAUGCUCUCCAGUAGCAACUAGUACUCAUGUCAGCAGCUAAACAAUACUACUAGGAGUUUCUCCUCAAGGAAAUCCACAAAUCUCAGAACAGAGCCCAGAUAUUCCUGAUACAGAAUAUGCUCUAAAGACAUCACAAGCCUCCCUCCUGCUCCUGUGAGCCAGGGUCCCUAUUUAAGAACGGCUGUAUCACAGAACACCCCAGGUUCUCCACCACCUCCCUCAACACACACUUCCAUCCAAAGUGGGAUGGAUGUUUAUUACAUGUGGGUUGGGUCACCUCACCCCUCUCUUUUAAUUUUAGUGCAUGUGAAAUUUGCCAUAUGGACAGCUCUGAAGACUGAAGUCCUUCACUUACUUGUAAGAGCAGUAGAGCACAAUCACUUCCAUUACUGUUACUUUAAUGCAUCUCAUCCCUUGACGUAAUUUUUUAGGAAGACAGGAAAACUGAGCUAGAUGACCAAGUCUAGUUCCCAGCUCCUGCAGACCACGCAUUCAUUUUCGCAGGCUAAUCAAACCACAGCUAAAACUACCUGGCUUAGGGGGAAAUCUCUCCGUUUCCACCACUGCUCCUAUUUCCAGGUUGCUUUGAGACUCACUCUUUGAACAGUUAGAAGAUUUGUUCUCACUUCCACUCUUAAUUUAGCCUCGUGUUAUUGCACCAGCAAUAUCCUUGGUAUUACAGACAGGCAAGAGAAUUCAGAUACUUCUUUCCAUUCACUCUUUGCACUGGAAGCUUCAUCUUUCUUGGUAGUUAGGCUAUGAGCAGAAAUCUCAUUUCAUAUCACCCUUUCUAUUAUAUCAGCCUGCUCUGGAUUCAGACAGAAGGUUGAGACUUAAACUCUGCAUCUCUUCGCCUGAUACAAUGCUAGAUGGUACACUUAUUUUAAAAAGUUACAUAUAGAAAAGGUUAAUGCCACAAUCCUUCAAAAAACUUGCCUAAAUGCUUAAUUUUAGGCAUACAAAUAGUUCCAUUAAAUUCCAAUCACUCAAGCCCAUUGAAUUCAAUGUGCCUAUGCCCAUGACUAAAUUAUAAGGCACAGGAUUGUGGAUGUAGAGAUCAUUAUACAUGACACAAUUUGGUGGGUCCUCACAUAAAUCAGAUAAGCAAAUCCCUUCUGCUCAUGUUUGCAGAGUGCAGAAUGCUUGCAACCUGGAUCUCUUGAGAUGAAAACAGGGAAAAGUGGCCAAAUAUCUCAGGCACUAUGGCAAAUUUGUAACCAUGGCCUCAACUAUUCAGUGUGGUCACUUUUUAAGAAAAAAAUAUGCUAUAAACAAAACUCAGUUCAGCUUCUUGGUACUACUUAUAGGACAAGAUCCAUGUUCCAAAUUUUAACUCAGUAAGCCCUGCCUAGAGAGUGGAAAUAAUGUCUUUAGGAGCUUCCUUUAAUUUUCUCUUCAAAGCUUAAUUAUAUUACAGGAAAUAUUUGGCUAAGGUGUGGCUAUUCAUCAUGAUAUCUAUAUUAACAGCAUGAUCAGAGAGAUUUCUGUCAAUUUUUCAUUUUAACCUGGCUUUUACUUUCAUAAUAUAAUUAUAUCCCCUCAUUCCAUUUAUGAUAUAAGAAGAAAUUACAUCUUUUAAUUUUCUUUUACUAAAAUAAAAGCUUUUUCUUUAAAAACCUAUGUUGUAGUGGGCAACAUAUUUAGAGCUUACGAUCAGCAAUUUCUCUAAAGAGGAAGAUUUAAGGAAAAAAGUGGCUCUAAAAGUAAUUUCAGCAGCAAAGUAGAUUAAAUAUCCACCAUAUUAGUCACAGAGUAUUAGAUGGAAUUGGAUUGACUGGGAAGAGGUCAAAGAGUUGCUGAAGGUUUUAGCCCACCAGAGGAGCAAUAAAAUUCAACCAUACUUAAAGUCAUUAGCUUUAAACCCUUUGAUAUUAGAUCAGAACCUCCAGUGCUCACAGAAGGAACCUCCAAGCACCAUGCCAAGCCAAAAGGAAACCCUUUAAGAAGUCUACAUUUCACGGAAACCUUUAAGUGAAGUAGAGAAGUGAAGAUAGAAAGAACCUGCACACACGAGAAAGACCAGGACACAAAUAGAGGGAAGAGGAAAAUGCAGCCUUUAAAGAAAGUUAUUUUAUAAAAUCACAGUAUGGUCACUUUAACAAGUUCUAGUGGGGCCUGUGGUCCAUUUUUAGCUAGCAAAUAACCCACCCACCAAUUCCUGCACACUUCCUCCACUUUGCUUCCUUGCUCCCAGUACCACUGCUUACUUCUCCCUUUCGUUUCUCACAAUGACAAGGCGCAUUUCCCCUCACAAAGAAGGGCUGCAUUUGCCGAGCCAGUAUGGCACCAAAACAAGACAAUCAGACAUCUGAAUUGUAUGACAUGAUAAAGAAAAGAUGCUACAUGCUGACAGCAAGGCAAGGAGGAAAUCUAAAAACUCAGAAGUCAUCUAACAUAGAGACAAUCCAAAAGAAAAAGAAAAAGGCAGAGGAGUAAUUAAAAACCCUGAAGACAGUGAUGGGUCUCAAGUUUUUGAACUGGCUCCCUAUUUAAUAGAAAGGAUGGUUUCCACCCAAGCGAAGAGAAAUAAAAGAGAGACUUCGCUGUAACUAAUAACCAACUGACAUAUUUCUGUUGGUUUUGUACAUUUUUUCACUCAUUUUGAAAAUGACAGGUAUAAUUAAAGUUGUUAAAUACAUCGAGAGACUUGUCAGUCAACUAAAAUAUCAACUCUUAUAAAUUCCCCACAAUAAGUACUGCACACAGCACAAUGCAAAAGAAAUUAAUCUCUCACUAGAAAGAUUUAGUCAUUUGAUGAUCCUUUAAAAAAAAAAAAUCCCAGAUUUUCUAUUUUGUGGGGCAAAAUGAACUUUUCUUCAUGUGUUUGUGAAUAUAAAAUGUAUGUAUUUAACUUCUGUAGUAUAGCAAAAUGAAAAUCUCAAGAAGAAUUUUGGUGCUUAUUCUGAAAUAUUUGGGGGGUUAAUUUUAAUGCAUGUCCUUCAUCAGUGUUUUUGCACAGGUAUUUCUUUUGUUUUAUCCUUCAUGAAAAAUAAAGGGGAUGCUCCAGAAAGUUGCCUUUUAGGGGCAAGUUCCAGUGGACAAAAUUUGGCUCUACCAUAGAUCUCAAACUAAAUUAAACAGGACCUAAGUGAUACUUAAGCCUUGCGUUAGCUACGUA
Molecule: long non-coding RNA, 5741 nt
Organism: Harpia harpyja (harpy eagle)
Lineage: Eukaryota; Metazoa; Chordata; Aves; Accipitriformes; Accipitridae
Exons: 6
Source: RefSeq, a predicted model, not a curated record